RNAcentral lists this ribosomal RNA (449 nucleotides) under uncultured bacterium. RNAcentral describes it as "partial 16S ribosomal RNA". It matches the Rfam family "Bacterial small subunit ribosomal RNA", at positions 32 to 523 of the family's 1533-position model. The record is from RNAcentral.
GAAUAACGCUGGCGGCGUGCCUAAAACAUGCAAGUCGAACGAUGCUUUCGGGCAUAGUGGCGCACGGGUGCGUAACGCGUGGGAAUCUGCCCCUUGGUUCGGAAUAACAGUUAGAAAUGACUGCUAAUACCGGAUGACGACGUAAGUCCAAAGAUUUAUCGCCGAGGGAUGAGCCCGCGUAGGAUUAGCUAGUUGGUGUGGUAAAGGCGCACCAAGGCGACGAUCCUUAGCUGGUCUGAGAGGAUGAUCAGCCACACUGGGACUGAGACACGGCCCAGACUCCUACGGGAGGCAGCAGUGGGGAAUAUUGGACAAUGGGCGAAAGCCUGAUCCAGCAAUGCCGCGUGAGUGAUGAGGGCCUUAGGGUUGUAAAGCUCUUUUACCCGGGAUGAUAAUGACAGUACCGGGAGAAUAAGCUCCGGCUAACUCCGUGCCAGCCGCCGCCGUAA